This 7341-nucleotide unclassified non-coding RNA is filed under the name Daphnia pulicaria. Its description in RNAcentral is "fH2 domain-containing protein 1-like, transcript variant X1". The record is from RNAcentral. Lineage: Eukaryota; Metazoa; Arthropoda; Branchiopoda; Diplostraca; Daphniidae.
UUGUGAGAGCGUGUGUGUGUGUGUGUGUGUGUGCGUGUUUGGUGUCUGUUAUGGGUGUGUGUGGGCGCGAGUGACUUGAACUUGAUUUCCGCGGGUGGGCGAACGCGUUUUGCAUAAAUUUUCAACUCCACCCUGGUUGGUCGAAUGUUGAUAUGGUAAAACCAAAGUCGGGCGGAGGAAAAAAAAUCCUUGCUUCCCAAUUAAUUUGAUAUAUCUUUGAAAUCGGAAAAGAGGUAAAUAAGACCAUUAAGGAAAUUGAAACAAAAGCAAAAAAAAAAAACGAAAAAUGUCAGGAUGAUUUAACCCCCCCACGACAGACCCUUAAUGAAUGUGUGUGUUCACUUUGUGCGAUAGUAUCAAGUUAAAGGAUGGCUGAUAGCCGAGCUGGUCAGCAUCACUCGUCGUCACAGCAUCAGUCGUCUGCUCUGCUGACGCCCAGUAACGCCAUCAAGCAAUUAGAGUAUCCGACCGAUCACAAACUCUUUCAGUCUAUCCGACGCCAGUUGAACGGUUAUGAUCAACAUCACCAUCACCACCAUACUCACAAUCCGGUACUUUGGAUAAGAGAAUUCCUGACACUCGGCGGCUGGGAUUACCUGCUGGAUGCCCUGAAAUUUCACAGCCAAAAUUCGGGCAAAAAUGGUUGGCAUCAAUUGAAUAAGCGCCAGGUGGACGACGACAGCAGUAAGACCAUCAACUGGACGUGGCUGCAGAUCGAGUGCGCCGACACGAUACGCAGCGUCAUGGAUUCGCGCAUCGGGCUCGACUACAUCGUCGAGAACCGCGAGUAUGUGGCCAAAUUGGCCUCGGCCCUCGACACGGCCAACACCACCGUCAAGAAACAAGUCUUCGAGCUCCUCUCGGCCCUCUGCGUCUACAAUGCCGACGGCUACUCCCGCACGCUCGAUGCUCUCGAGCACUUCAAGAACCUCAAAGGUGAUCGUUACCGUUUCGCCGUUGUGGUGCGGGAGCUGCGCGACGCCCCGACAGUCGAGUACAAGACAGCUCUGGUGGCAUUCAUCAACUGCAUCAUCAUCUCGACUCCACAGCUCAAGGAUCGCCUCCGCAUCCGCAACGAGUUCGUCGGCCUCAAACUUCUGGCAACGCUCAACGAGCUGAAAAACGAGGCGGCCUCCGACACCGAUCUGGCGGUCCAGAUUGACGUCUUCGACGAGCAGCGGGAGAGCGACGAAUCUCAAUUGCAAGGUCCUGACGGAGUGGACUUGAGUUCUCACUUGGAUGUUUUCCACGCCAUCCUGCGCCAGGUGGUGGACACACCCCAGGAGAUCCCGUUCCUGUCCAUUUUGCAGCAUCUGCUCAGGAUCGACCCCAAGGAAGCCGUUUCCGAUGUGGUGUGGGACACGGCGGAAACGCUGGUCCAUCGAGCCUCCCUGAUGGAGUCGAAGGAAGAGCUGACGCGCCUGUUACGCAGUCCGUCCCACGCUAAAAUGUCGCACCGUGACGAACCCGGCAGUGGUAGCAAGUCACGCAAGCAGUCGCUCAACCUGACCCUAUCACCGGCGGGUGAUGGCAGCCGGACCCCCGCUGGACUCCUGUCGCCGAUGAAUGGGCCGCCACCUCCUCCACCUCCGCCACCACCUCCAGGUGGAAUUCCGCAUCCGCCUCCUCCGCCGCCUCCAGGUUGCGGUCCACCACCUCCUCCGCCUCCGCCACUCUUGCCCGGCUCGGCUGGUCCUCCGCCACCACCCCCUCCGGGUCUAGGAGGUCUGACUCCACCCGCACCGCCCGCUCCGGCCGUUCAUCCGGAUUUGAAGGACUUGCGCUUACCACAAUUAGAUAUUCCUCGACCCAAAGCCAAGAUGAAGACGCUCAACUGGGUCAAGUUGCCAGACAUCAAGAUUUUCAGCCGUUCGAAUAUUUGGACAACUGUGGCCAAGUCACACCAGAAAUCGCCCAUGGCCGAUUUGGACUGGGCGGAGAUGGAGGGCCUGUUUUGCCAGCAGCCAGCGCCGGGAACUCCGUCAUCAGGUGGAGUCAAAGGAUUGGCCAACGGAACGCCCAACGGUAGCCUCCUGGGUACUCCCAACACUCCGGACACGGAGCGUAGGCGCAAGGAGACGACCGAAGUGUCUCUGCUGGACGGCAAACGGAGUCUCAACAUCAACAUCUUUUUGAAGCAAUUCCGGUCGACCAAUGCGGAAAUUGCCCAGAUGAUCCGCGACGGAGAACACGACGACAUCGGGACGGAGAAACUGCGCGGACUCCUCAAGAUCCUUCCGCCCACCGACGAGGUGGAGAUGCUCCGCGCCUACGACGGCGACCGCAAUCGACUGGGCAACGCCGAGAAAUUUCUGCUGCUCCAUUUGAUGACGAUCCCCAACUACCGUCUAAGGAUCGAGUCCAUGUUGCUCAAGGAGGAGUUCAACUCUCAGAUCAACUACCUCGGACCGAGCAUCGACGCCAUGAUCAUGGCCGGUGAAAAGCUCAAGGGCAACAAACAUCUCCAAGACAUCCUCUACAUGGUCGUCGUGGCCGGAAACUUCCUGAAUUCGGGCGGCUAUGCGGGAAACGCUGGCGGAGUCAAACUGGCCUCUCUGCAGAAGCUUGCCGACAUCCGAGCCAACAAGCCGGGCAUGAAUUUGAUCCACUUUGUGGCCCUGCAGGCCGAGAAAAAGGACAAGGAAUUGCUCAAAAUGCCGGAAGAGAUGAGCGUCUUGGAAGAUGCCACCAAGACGACGGUCGAGCAAUUGCGUAACGAGGUCAACGCAUUGGACCUCCGCAUCACCAACAUCGCCAAACAGAUUGAUGCUCCCAACACGCCGCCCGAUAUCAAGAACCAGAUGGAGGAAUUCCUCCGCAGUGCCAAGGACGAAAUGGCAGACCUCCAGAAGGAUUUAUUGGAACUGGAUGAAGUGAGGACGGAGCUGGCCGAUUUCUUCUGCGAGGAUCGCGAUUCAUUUAAACUCGAAGAAUGCUUCAAACUUUUCCUAAACUUCUGCCAGCGCUUCCGGACUGGCGUUUUGGAAAAUGAACACCGACGACAACAUGAAGCUGCGGCUGAAAAUCGCCGUCGGCAACGUGAAGAGCAACUGGCCCUGAAACGCCGUCAAAGCGCCGGUGGACCGCAAGGUAGCACCGGAGACAACGAUUCCGAAAACGUCAUGGAUUCCCUCCUGCUGGACAUUCGUUGCGGCUUUCCUAUGCGCGACAAGUUCCGCAAAGGUAAGAAAGCAUCGAUCGACCCGUCCGUCGAGGAUGAUAAUGCGUCUCCUUUAGUUCUGGCCGUCGCCAGCUCUCCUCGGGUCAGCCGUAAACGGCUCGGCUCCAACACCGUCGUCACGGUGCCCAGCAGCAACGACGCCAGCCGACAAGACGACAGCCUUCUGGAGGACCUGACGCCCAACGGGAGUCUGCGACGACGUCGAAGCCGCGUACCUUCGGAGGAAGACGACACGCUGAUGGAUUACCUAAGGACGUCGGGUCACGCUGACGGGUCCCGCGAGCGCAAAUCAACCGGCAACAUACCCGACGGAUACGGAUCGCUGGAUCGUUCUUGGUAUCGUAAUCGAACCCGAGCCAGCGGCGGACCCGGCCAGAAGAAGCGGCCAGAUCUGAUGAGCGCCGACUUUACGGGAGGCGGAGGAACUUUGGCUCCGUCACCGUUGGCAGCCCCUCCACCUGUCCAAGACAACAGCGGACCGAGCACGCUGGAGCCGCUGCCGGAGACGACUCUCAUCGAGAGCCGGAGGUCACCCAGGCGAGACUGGAAGCCGCCGUUGGAGAACACGGACGUGGUCGGAGUCAUGGAAGCCAUCGAAGAUGCUUCAACUCGGGAAAAAUCGGCCUGGCAGCGAAAAUCGGCAUUGCCUGGCACUGCUAGCACGGCAACUGACAACCCCCUGGAUGGCCGAAAUCGCUUCCGCCGUAUGAGGUCACGACUUCAACCGGAAGAAACUGAUCGGCCGACAACUCCAGCAACGCCCAUAGUUCCAUCUACUCCGGUUCAACCGGAUAGUGAAGUGGAGCGGAGGAAAGCCAUGAUAGGAUCGUUGGGCAGGCAACCGACUGAAGAUAAACUGACUAUUUACAUCAAACAAGACAGUGAGCCUCAUGUCAAAGAAAUGCUGCCCACGCUGGUCGAACAGAGUCCGGUCACCACGAGACGAAGGAGCGAUCAAGGGCUGUCAACUCCGAUUGAAGGAUCGGGAACGGCUUCGCGUCUACUCAAUCGCUACCGACAACAGACGCCACUAGACGUGCCCAAUGACCUUCUGCGAACCAUUGAAGAAGUCGAUCGCACUCCCAAGAGUCCUGUCGAGACGUCGGAAACUUACGACCGGUCACCCGGUCCGUUGACCGGAACCACACCGCCCGCCACGAUCCUAUCGGCUGCUGAACGGGAGAAGAAGCGUUAUCAACGCACUAUGACUCCCAACACGUUGCGAUCAAAACUCCAGGAGAAACUGAUUAGCGGUUUCGAUACCAACGAACUGGCUGGAACAAUCGCAUCCAUUCAAAUCACGCCGGAAAAGCAGACGGCCGAAAAGAACAACAAUCCCAACACGUCGUCGUCUAAAACACCGGUAGAUGGUGACUCUAGUGGAACUGGGGAGAGCGAAACUUCGCUUCCGCCCAUUCAGCCGGGACCGCGAAAGCCGCGACGCUUGUCACGCGGAGGCCUCAGCGGAGAAGACGGACCGACGGAUAAGAUUGACAUCGAUUCGGAGAACAUUGAAACACCUCCCGUGACGAGACGCGCUUACGGAUCGCGUCCGUUCGUUGCAAGUUCCGGAACAACUUCGACUUCGACUGGCACAUCCGAAGUCUCCGGUUCGCCGUCGACCGGAACUUCGUCUUCCAAAAACGGCCGAACUUCCAUGAAAGCUGAAGACGACGAAUUGGGUGAUGGUAAUUUCGAUCGCUACUCAUCCGUCCGUCGCACCCGUCGACUCCGCAAGGCGCCAGAGGGAGCGGAAGAGGACUCUACCAGUUUGGAACCCCGUAAAUCGCCCGAAGGUGUCGAGGAUCCGGAAGACCUUUCGCAAACAGACGUCAUCGUGGGCAUGGAAGUGAAAAAGGAAGGAGAAGUGAGCACGGUUGAAGUGACGCGCCGGAUGAGCGAGGAGCGUGAUCUUCAGCCGCACGCAGGAAUCGGCAACAACAACAACAACAACAACAACCACGGAAUGGCCGUGAGUAACGAAGACAAGGAACGGCGGCUGCAGCGCUGGAAGGAUAAGUUAGGACCGCGGGACGAAGCAGAAACGGCCGUUAUGACGGCCAGCGGCGCAAGCGCCAUCAAGGUCCGCCGCGAUCGACCCUCUCGCACCAACGAAGCCGAACCACCGCAAGCAGCAGUCCAGCAGCAAGAGCCUGUCCGAUCGUUCACCGAACCAACGACAACAUCAUCGACGGAAGAUAACUGGCGCACUCGGCUGGCCAGACAAUUCCGGGCCGCUGACAAACUCGAUUCUUCUUCCAUCAAAGAAGACGAUCCGUCCACCCUGCGUGCCAAAUCCCGCUCCAGAUCUUCCAGCCCACUGAAGGAUGAGACGCAAGGCUCCCGUCUGGCCUUAUCGCAUUUGCGGGAUUCGCCGCCAAGAAAAGCCGAUUCCGUCUUUUCCAGGUUGGCACAGGGAUCCGGAAUGCGUGGAACGAGCAGUGCGGCCAACAACCGAACGUCAACUGAUACCCAGCAGCCGAAACAAAGGCGCAGCCUGUUUGGAGAUUCCACUCGUGACAGUUUCACGAAAACUUUGUCGAAGAAAUUCGAAAGCCCCGCCAAGCGGCCGGAGGAAAAUGGAACGAGUUCAUUGCUGAGACGUUCUUCAUCCAUCCGGACGGCUGAUCGUCCCCGUUCGACAUUCUUCUCUCCGAUCAGCAGCGAACCAACGGUUCCGGAAAUGAGAGAGAGGACCAUGACGUUGGGCAGGUCAUCCAGCUUCCGUGUUGGGAAUCGCACCCCAGGUGCCGGCUCGUCCACCCCGUCCACCGCCACGUCGACGACCGAAAAGAAAACAGGCUCGGGUUACACUUCGUCUCUAAUGAAUUGGCGUCCAUUCCGCAAGAGCCGCGAUGAGAAUGCCGAUCCGGAACCCUCCAGCCGGAAGUCGUCGAUGAGCUCAACCAUGACCAAUCGACCGAUCGGCGCCAGCAGCACGAGAUCGUCUAAUUUAGGAACGAGCAACAGCAGCCUGAAACGGUCCACCUCGUCCGUCGCAUCACUAACACCCCUGCGGGGAGGCGGUUAUGUCCCUGGCGGAAUGUCUUCCACUUUAUCCAGCGCCCAAAGGAACGGCCCAUCAAGUACAUCCUUGAUGCGAACAGGUUCGGUCAAAACGGCAGCUGCCCCGGUAAACGGCCGGACAACAUCAUUCCUCAAAGUGGCAGUUCCAAGUUCUCCCGCUCCGGUCCGUCGCAGCACGGGGUCCAGCUUCAUGCGACCGACCGCGUCGAGCGUGGCCAAGGAUAAAGACCUGCUCGGUCCCGUUCUGGUCAAGAGCAGCAUCCGCCCGACAGCCGCUACAACCUCCGUCGCUCAACGUCCCAAACUGUUCUGAGCUCCUCCCCCCCCUUUCUACGAUUUUUCUCUCUCUCUGUCUCUCUCUCCAUUUAAUUUAUUUUUAUUUUUUCGCCGACAUUUUCAAUUGUUCUUUCUCCGUUGCUUUUUCGGCUUUCAACUCAACAACCUUCCGACUCUCGCAACAACGGGAAAACAGCAAACUACAUUUUAAAAGUGAGAAAUUGUGCCGAGCCUCUCCCUACUCUCCUCUACCGCCUUCCACAUCCCGCCUGUGGUAAAAGAUGAUAUCCCGCAAAAAAAAGGUGCCAAUUAUUGAGUAUUCUAUCGUCUUGUAAACGCCGACAUUCGUUUAGGCGGGGUUGUAAACUCCCAACGUCCAGCGAUGUCCCGUCCGCCUCUUUUCCAUUUGAAAAUAUUAUUCAGAGCGUUCAUCAAUACGAAGCUCGCCACUUAUAUUCGCCAUGCCAUCAAGCCAUCAAACGGCGGAUUCUGCUGUCAAAAAUAACUUUUAACGGAACACAUUAAUGGGGAACAAAAAACAUUUUUUUUAUAUAAAAAAAAAUUGUGUGUGGUGUAAUAAUCUCUCCAUUUUUAAUCGUGUAAAAAUACCUUUUUUUUUGGUUUAACAAUCGGUGUGUUGAUUGGAUUCGAAAGGAAGAAAUACAUAUACUCAUUCCCGCUUGUAAAAUAAUAAAACCAACUCAUUUACAUUCAAUAAAAUUGAAAACAUUAAUACAACUACUGUUUUUUUAAAGUGGAAUCCUUUGUUUGUAUUUCCAUCCCGUUUCAUUUUGCAUACAAGCCAUAUGAAAAUAGCAAAGAAAAAAAAAAAACAUUUGAUAAAGGCACACAAUGCC